This 427-nucleotide ribosomal RNA is filed under the name uncultured bacterium. RNAcentral's name for it is "bacterial SSU rRNA". It matches the Rfam family "Bacterial small subunit ribosomal RNA", at positions 355 to 774 of the family's 1533-position model. The record is from RNAcentral.
UGGGGAAUUUUGGACAAUGGGCGCAAGCCUGAUCCAGCAAUGCCGCGUGCAGGAUGAAGGCCUACGGGUUGUAAACUGCUUUUGUACGGAACGAAACGGCUCUGGUUAAUACCUGGGGCUAAUGACGGUACCGUAAGAAUAAGCACCGGCUAACUACGUGCCAGCAGCCGCGGUAAUACGUAGGGUGCAAGCGUUAAUCGGAAUUACUGGGCGUAAAGCGUGCGCAGGCGGUUAUGUAAGACAGAUGUGAAAUCCCCGGGCUCAACCUGGGACCUGCAUUUGUGACUGCAUAGCUAGAGUACGGCAGAGGGGGAUGGAAUUCCGCGUGUAGCAGUGAAAUGCGUAGAUAUGCGGAGGAACACCGAUGGCGAAGGCAGUCCCCUGGGCCUGCACUGACGCUCAUGCACGAAAGCGUGGGGAGCAGACA